RNAcentral lists this non-coding RNA (168 nucleotides) under Tissierellia bacterium. Its description in RNAcentral is "6S RNA". It matches the Rfam family "6S / SsrS RNA". From Rfam's summary of the family: E. coli 6S RNA was the first non coding RNA to be sequenced, but its function was unknown until recently. It consists of 184 nucleotides that fold into an extended hairpin structure with a large single-stranded internal bulge. Lineage: Bacteria; Bacillati; Bacillota; Tissierellia. The record is from RNAcentral.
AUUGUCCUACGGUAACCAGAACAAUUAAACCGACACCGUUUAUAAGGGAUGACGGAUGUUCUUUCUCGGAAGGAAAGCCCCUUUAAGGGGACUCCAGAGGUGAAAGACAGUCAACCCACCUUCACAUAUGAGGGCUUUAAUUAAUUAAGGUUACCCCCUGGGACAAAC